AUUGAACGCUGGCGGCAGGCCUUACACAUGCAAGUCGAGCGAGCGGCGGACGGGUGAGUAAUGUCUGGGAAACUGCCUGAUGGAGAGGGAUAACUACUGGAAACUGUAGCUAAUACCGCAUUCCAUCACAUGUGCCCAGAUGGGCUUAGCUUGUCGGAGGGGUAAUGGCUCACCUAGGCGACGAUCCCUAGCUGGUCUGCGAGGAUGACCAGCCACACUGGAACUGAGACACGGUACAGACUCCUACGGGAGGCAGCAGUGGGGAAUAUUGCACAAUGGGCGAAAGCCGGAUGCAGCCAUGCCGCGUGUGUGAAGAAGGCCUUCGGGUUGUAAAGUACUUUCAGCGGGGAGGCGUUACCCGCAGAAGAAGCACCGGCUAACUCCGUGCCAGCAGCCGCGGUAAUAC
Molecule: ribosomal RNA, 406 nt
Filed under: uncultured bacterium
Lineage: Bacteria
Description: partial 16S ribosomal RNA
Rfam family: Bacterial small subunit ribosomal RNA
Source: RNAcentral